AUACGUAGGGAGCGAGCGUUGUCCGGAAUUACUGGGUGUAAAGGGAGCGUAGGCGGGACUGCAAGUCAGAUGUGAAAUACCGGGGCUUAACCCCGGAGCUGCAUUUGAAACUGUGGUUCUUGAGUGAAGUAGAGGCAAGCGGAAUUCCUGGGGUAGCGGUGAAAUGCGUAGAUAUCAGGAGGAACACCGGUGGCGAAGGCGGCUUGCUGGGCUUUUACUGACGCUGAGGCUCGAAAGCGUGGGUAGCAAACAGGAUUAGAUACCCUGGUAGUCCACGCUGUAAACGAUGAUUACUAGGUGUGGGGGGACUGACCCCUUCCGUGCCGCAGUUAACACAAUAAGUAAUCCACCUGGGGAGUACGGCCGCAAGGUUGAAACUCAAAUGAAUUGGCGGGG
This 396-nucleotide ribosomal RNA is filed under the name uncultured bacterium. Its description in RNAcentral is "partial 16S ribosomal RNA". It matches the Rfam family "Bacterial small subunit ribosomal RNA", at positions 523 to 918 of the family's 1533-position model. The record is from RNAcentral.